Molecule: non-coding RNA, 231 nt
Filed under: Neobacillus massiliamazoniensis
Lineage: Bacteria; Bacillati; Bacillota; Bacilli; Caryophanales; Bacillaceae
Source: RNAcentral
GUAAAAAUGUCGAAGGAUCCAGUAUGUUAUAGUCCAUCUGUAACGCAGUGUGCGUUUAAGAGAGGAGCUUCCACGGCUGAAAGAAGCUCUAGGUGAAGGAUGACAGAACGCUUAUCCGGAGUGCAGCUAAUCACUGCCGUUUUUGCCGCGUUAAGGCAUGUUUGAGAGAUGAGUACAGAUGAUUGUAUUCAUAAUCAGGGUGGUACCGCGAGCUAAGCCCUCGUCCCUGUU